Molecule: non-coding RNA, 54 nt
Organism: Salmo salar (Atlantic salmon)
Lineage: Eukaryota; Metazoa; Chordata; Actinopteri; Salmoniformes; Salmonidae
Source: Rfam
UGCACUCACUACUGUAAGUCACUCUGGAUAAGAGUGUCUGCUAAAGGACUCAAA